RNAcentral lists this long non-coding RNA (11232 nucleotides) under Nicotiana tabacum (common tobacco). RNAcentral's name for it is "long non-coding RNA (NTAB_LNC013875)". The record is from RNAcentral. Lineage: Eukaryota; Viridiplantae; Streptophyta; Magnoliopsida; Solanales; Solanaceae.
UCAGAUUAGUCGUAUCCUCCACAACAAAAAAGAGAACCCUAGAGCAAAGAAAAAGAAAAAAGAAGAAAAAAAAAGAGUUGUGCCGCAACAUUUGAAAGAAAAAAUCGCAGCAGCAGCUGCUGCCUUCUUCUUCCUUCAUAAACAACCUCCCUUAGCUCGAAAACCUCAACAAACCACCCAAACCCAGCUGAAACAACAUCAAAAUCCCUCCCUUUCACCCCCAAAAUCCAGCCCGAAAAAUAGCCCCCAAUACCAUCGAAAACCAACUCAAAUCAGCUGUAAAACCAACUGAAAAUCAGCUGCGAAACCGGCUGAAAAAUUAUCUCAAAACCAGACCAAAAUGUAGCAAAAAGCCAUCUCAAAACAACCCCAAAACAUCACCUCCUAAAACUCCAUUGAAACCAACCAAGAAUUAGCUCUAAAACCCAGCAAAAAUAGCUCUGUUUCCCAGUGAAAAUCAGCUGCAAAAUUGUCCUAAAAAUCAGCCUUCCACCUCCAAACACCACCGCUAAAGUUGUUGGAUCGGAUUGAGGUUAUUUGGGUCAAGUUGAGGUCCAUGUUGUGGCUCUCGGGUCGAGGUUUUGUUCGCAAUUCUGGUGUUAUCGCCGAAUUCCGUUUCUGCUAGCUGAACAACUAUUUUUGUUGAAUAAGAUCUUGCUCAAUUAAAGGUUCAUCCUCUACUCUACUAUUUCUAUUAGGCCACCCACUUGCUCUUAUUUGUCAUAUACUAUUUGAGAUGUCUCUGUUAGAAAUGAGUAUUUUAUCAUCAUGCGAUUGUUUGGUGAUUCGAUUACGUUGCUUGAAUUGGUGAGAUCUCGUUUCAUUAUUAUUGUUUGAACUUAAUGCGACUAUGUAUUGAUAAUAUUUUAAUUGUUAUAGUAAGUUAUUAUUAAAACGUUUCAUUAUAGGUGUUUUGGAUUUUAACAGUGAUAUUCUAAUGUUAAGGGAUUUGUGGCUAGGUGGGAUUCUGGCCAUUUGAUUUUCAAUGGAGAGUCGAUUUUGGACCAAAAAAUUUAAAGAGUUUUGAGUUUAAAAUAUUUUUCCAUACAUUAUUUUUCUACAUAGUCACGUUAGUAAACAUUAGGAAUAAAACUAUGAGGUGUAACAUUAACUCCAAUUUUUAGCAUAUUUUUUUCAAUAAAUUCUUGUCAACUAAAUCACACCGUCUCUCCAUAAUAUGGAUUGUGUACACGUUCGCGUGACAUGAUUUUAACGCCCAAAUAAAACGGGUUUACACACAUGCAGUUCGCUUCACAGAUAAAUCCAUAACUAAGUAAUUAAAAGUAGUAAAAAGUUAAAAUGUACAUAGGUUCUAAAAUAAGUAAUUAAAAAAUUUAAUUAAGCCAGGUAUGAUUAAAGCAGACCAUAAAUAGAGUCAAAUUUUCUCGACUUGGGAUUUAAAAUAAAUCGGUGACUUGGGACACCAUAAAAUUAUUCAAAGUGGCGACUCUGAAAUAAAAUAGAUAAUUCCAUAUCGAAUAAUAUCACUUAAAUUGGAAAAAAACUCCCUUAUAUCCCCUACGGGUAAAAAGGAGGUGUGACACCAGAUUCAGUAAAAUUCUUGGAGAUCUCAAAUCAUUUGAAAGACCAAUUAAAAGUGGCGAACAAGUUAGAAAGAUCCUUAGAAGCUUGCCUACAAUUUGGCAACCAAGGGUCAUUGCUUUGGAAUGUCAAGAUCUGGAUAAAAUUUCCUAUGAUGAGCUCAGAGGUGAUCUGAUUGCUUUUGAGAAAACUCAUCUUGAUAGAAAAUUCAAGAGAAGAAAAAAAUUGUUGCUUUCAAAGCAACUGUGGCUGAACCAGAAAUUGAAGAUGAAGAAGAAGGAGGAGAACAAGGUGAAAACAUAAUGCUCUCUCAAGUCGUGACCAGCAUGAUGAGACGAAACAUAAACAACAGAAGAGGUAAGUCUAACUUCAGGAAAGGAAGAGCGAGCAAUGAAGCUAAGAAAAAUGAUGAAAGAUGUUACGAAUAUGGAAAGUUCGGUCAUAUUCAAGUUGAAUGUCCGAAAUUAAAGAAGAAACUUAGCAGAAAAAUGCAAAAGAUGAAAGCCUUUGGAGCAUGGAGUAAUGAGGAAGAAUCUAAUCAUGAGGAAAUUGCUAACAUGCGCUUCAUGGCUCUAAGUGACAAUGAAGAAGCAGGGGAACUUGGGCUAAUGACAGACAUCAACGAUGAGAAAGACGACUCAAGAGAACCUCUUUCAAUGUCAGAUGAGGAACUAGUGAACUACGUACUCCUUUAUACCCUAAUUGUCAUGAACUUCAAGAAUUUGUUAAUAUUGCCCUUGCAGAUAUAGAAAGAGUAGUAAAUGAGCUCAGAAAAGUCAAGAGAGAAGAGAGACUGGGCCCUAAAACUAGAAGUAUGCAAAAUUGAACGCGAUAUAUUUCAAGAAAAAGUAAAUGAACUCAAGGUUCAAUUGAAUGGAUUGCAAAGGACCUCAAAUCACAGUUCAGUCAAGUCUCAACAGACUGUUCAUCAGAAAAAGAAAAUGGCUUGUUCCUUUUGUGGAAAAAAUGGCCAUAACACUAAUAAUCGCAGGAACAGAAUUAGAGCUAAGAGUAGUUUUGAUAACUCUAACAACUUAUCUUGCUUCUACUGUGGCAAAAGAGGUCAUACCUCAAAUUAUUGCAGGUUCAAAAAUAACAAAAGAUGGGUCUGGAGACCAAAAUCUUCAAAUCAAACUAACACUCAGAAGUCUAACCAUUCAGGACCCAAGCAGGCUUGGGUACCUAAAAAUAAGUAAUCUUGUUUUGCAAGAACACUGCAAGAAAAAUAGAAAAGGAAAAUGGUAUCUCGGCAACACGUGUUCCAGACAUAUGACGAGUGACAAAUAAUUGUUCAAAUCAGUCACCAAGAUAGAUGGAGGAAUAGUUACAUUUGGUGACAAAUCCAAAGAAAAUGUUACUGGUGUUGGAAAAGUUCCUUUAAGCUCAACAUGUGAUGUAGAUGGAGUCUACUUAGUUGAUUAACUUGGCUAUAACCUUCUCAGUAUCAGUCAAUUGUGUGAUAAUGAUUAUGAGGUUCAUUUUAAGAAACAUGGAUGGUUUAUAGAAGACGAAUCAGGUAAUAUCAUUCUCUCAAGAAAUAGGAACAGAAAUGUCUAUACUAUCAAAAACUUAGAAAACUUUGGGGAUCAAAUUUGCCUUACUUCUAUUAUUGAAGAUCCCUAGGUUUGGCAUAGAAAACUUGGCCAUACAAGCAUGAAUACUAUUCAAAAAAAUUUCAAACAUGAUCUUGUUAUUGGUCUUCCAAAACUAAAUUUUUUAAAAGAUCAUAUAUGUGAUGCAUGUCAAUUAGGGAAACAAGCACGAUCCUCUUUCAAAGUCAAAAACAUUGUUUCUACCUCUAAACCUCUUCAAUUGCUGCAUAUGAAUUUAUUUGGUCCUACUAGAACUGCUAGUAUAGGAGGUAAGAAAUAUGUUUUUGUUAUUGUAGAUGAUUUCUCUAGAUUUACAUGUGUUAUGUUUCUUAGUCAUAAAGAUGAUGCUCUAAAGAAUUUUGAAGUUUUCUGUAAGAAGGUUCAACGAGAAAAAGGAUACUAUAUCUCCACCAUCAGAAGUGACCAUGGAGGAAAAUUUGAAAGCAGAACUUUUGAAAAUUUUGCAAUGAUCAAGGAAUCUCUCAUAACUUCUCAUCGCCAAGAUCCCCUCAACAAAAUGGAGUAAUAGAACGUAAAAACAGAACCUUGCAGGAUAUGGCAAGAAGUAUGAUCGUGGAAAACUCUCUACCUCAUAAUUUCAAGGCAGAAGCUGUAAGUACAACAUGUUAUAUCAUUAACAGAUGUCUUAUUCGGCCAAUUCUUAAAAAGACUCCCUAUGAACUGUGGAACGGUAAGAAACCAAACAUUAGUUAUUUCCACCCUUUCAGAUGCAAAUAUUUCAUUCAUAACAAUGGAAAGGAUAAUUUGGGUAAGUUUGAUCGAAAGAGUGAUGAAGGUAUAUUUUUGGGUUACUCUCCCUCAAAUAGAGCUUACAGAGUUUACAACAAGAGAACCUUAUGUAUUGAAGAAUUUAUUCAUGUUAUUUUUGUUGAUACUAACCCUCGCCCAAAGAAUGAACAUAUCCUGAAGAUGAGGAAAUUUCUUGUGCUACAAAAUCUGUUCUUGUAGGUAAGGAUCAUCAAAAUGAGUCAACUAAUCUACAAAAUCAACCAGCUGAAAUUCCUCCAGAAGAAUGUGACUUACCUCAACCAGAUCAGUCGACUAUCGAAGAAAAUGUGACUUCAGCAAAUACUCCAAAUGAAUGGAAGAUUGAACCAGGAUAUCCUCAUAAGUUCAUUAUAGGAGAUCCACAGGAGGGAAUAACUACAAGGAGAUCUCAAAAGAACAAAUCUCAUGUAUCUCUCAUUUCUCAAAUUGAGCCCAAGAAAGUGGAUGAAGCUUUAAAGGAUUCUCAUUGGAUUGAUACUAUGAAAGAAGAAUUAGAUCAAUUUGAGUGAAACAAAGUCUGGAAACUUGUUCCAAAGCCUCAAAAUUCAUCUGUCAUUGGAACUAAGUGGGUUUUCAGAAAUAAAUUGAAUUAAUCAGGUCAAGUUGUUCGGAAUAAAACAAGACUGGUGGCUCAAGGUUACUCUCAAUAGGAAGGAAUCGACUAUGAUGAAACAUUUGCACCUGUAGCAAGAUUUGGAUCCAUCCGAAUUCUACUUGCUUUCGCUGCUCACAAAGGAUUGAAAUUAUUUCAAAUGGAUGUUAAAAGUACGUUCCUAAAUAUCUAUAUCUUUGAAGAAUUAUACGUGAACCAACCUCCUGGCUUUGCAAAUACCAAUUUUUCAAACCAUAUAUACAAGCUGACUAAAGCCCCGUAUGGUCUCAAACAAGCUCCACGAGCAUGAUAUGAAAGGUUGAGCUCUUUUCUUCUAAAUCAAGGUUUCAAACGAGGUAACAUCGAUACAACUCUUUUUAUUAAGCAAUCCAAUUCAGGUAAUCUUAUUACUCAAAUUUAUGUAGAUGACAUUAUCUUUGGUAGCCCUAACUUAGUUCUUUGUGAAGAAUUUGCACUUUCCAUGAAAGGUAAAUUUGAAAUGAGCAUGAUGGUAGAACUGACAUUCUUCCUUGGACUUCAAAUCAAGCAAUCCCCUAAAUGAAUUUUCAUAAGCCAAACCAAGUAUACCAAGGAGCUCAUUAAGAAAUUUGGGAUGGAAAAUGAUAAAGCUAUUAGCACUCCAAUGAGUCCAACUACCGUGCUAGAUGAAGACAGCAAUGGAAAAAUGGUUCAUGAAACCAUUUAUAGAGGGAUGAUUGAAUCUUUACUUUAUAUAACUACUAGUCGAUCAGAUAUUAUGUUUAGUAUUUGUAAUUGUGCUAGAUUUCAUUUGGCUCCUAAGGAAUCCCAUCUUACCGCUGUUAAACGCAUUAUUAGAUAUUUAAUUGGUACUCCUGAGUUCAGAUUAUGGUAUGAUCACUCUAACAAUUUCUCUCUGAGAGGCUUUUCAGAUGUUGAUUUUGCAGGAGACAAGAUUGAUAUGAAGAGUACCAGCGGGACAUGUCAAUUGCUAGGAAAUUAUUAGUAUCUUGGCAUAGCAAGAAAUAAAAUUGUGUUGUGCUAUCAACUACUGAGGCAGAAUACCUAGCUGUUGGAAGCUGUUGUACACAAGUCCUAUGGAUCAUGCACCAACUUCUUGAUUAUGAUUUUCUCUUACUUCUACUCCUAUUUUUUGUGACAAUACUAGUGCUAUCUACUUAUCUAAAAAUUCUGUGCAACAUUCUAGAGCAAAAUAUAUAGAAAUUAAAUAUUAUUUUAUUCGUGAUCAUGUAGCAAAAGGUGAUAUUACUUUAGAAUUCAUUAGUACUGAUUCUUAACUUGCUGAUAUUUUUACAAAACUGCUUUUGGAAGAAAGAUUCCGCACUUUUCAAAAAAGAUUGGCAUUGUGCCAAAUUUGUAAAUUAAAUAUUUCCUUAAGUAUUCAAAUUAUUUUACAUGCUUUCAGAAUAUUUUUUUCCUUAAUUAUAUGUGUUCUAAUUAAUUUUCUGUGUAAGUGCAAUUAUUACAUGUACCGCCGAUUAGUCACUUCUGAACCUACACUUUUGUCUGCACUUAACCCUUCCAGUAACCAAGAUGCCUCUUCACUCCUCUAAAUCUCAUCAAUAAAAACUCUCCAUCUCCAACACUUCUCUCAUUCACUACCAACCAACUCCUCUCACUAUGGCCAAAAGAAAUCCCUCCUCUACAACCAGACACAGUCGAAGGUUUCAAAAACCUCUCAACACUGAAGAACCUGUGGAUGUGGAGUCAUCCAUUGACUCAGAUUUUCUCAGAACUGACAACGAUAACAAUGCCUUAUCUAAAAAUUAUCCUAUCAGCCAGAAAAAGGAUGGCAAGAGGCCCAUGGAGCAAACCCCCAAAAAGGCUGUAUGCAAGAAGGGCAAGGUUUAAUAUUUGGAGUUUGGUCUUGAAGACAAGCUAAUCUUCUAUGGCCCUAGUGAAAAGGUGAGGUUUUAGUCCUACAAGUCAAAAUCCAUGGCUUAUGGAUGCUCUGCAAGUCUUUAUCUUAUGAAAAGCCUUCAUUGUGAUGUGACUACAAUUUUCGAUUUUCAACACCUUUCCCAUUUAUUUGACGCUCUUGGAAAUACUGUGUAUGAAGAACCUAUGCGAAUGUUUUAUGCAAAUCUGUUUGUGUAUAUGAUUUGGAAUCUAUGGUUUUAGGGACUAGAAUUGUUUUGGGCUCCUACCAAUUUGAAAAGAUCUUUUCCGCAAAGUUUAGUGGGGAUGAUGAGUUUGUCCAAAAUUCUUAGCCCAAAGACUUUGAAGUGUCCUUUAAUAAAGCAAAAAGUUUUCUGUCUGAUAACCCCCUUGACAUUGGCCCCAAAAAUCUUAAGUUUGAACACCGUGUCUUGGCCCAUAUGAUUGCCACCACUCUCCUUCCCAGAUCUGGGUCCCUUAGUUCCUUGUCCAUUAGAGAUGUUUUUAUCCUCUAUUGUCUGGUUAAUAGUAAGCGACUUGACUGGUUUGUGUGGAUUCGUCAAUAUAUGCUUGAGAGUAUAAGGGAUAUUUCCUCUUCUGAUGCAUGUCUACCCUAUGGUCUUCUUAUCUCUCAUAUUCUGGAAGUUAUGAAAGUAGACUUGACACCCUUUUCAUCCAAGCACAUCUCCAGUACUUAUGAUAAGACUGCUUUUUCUAUGAUAGGGUACACUCUGGGUAAUGAUGGAUGGUUUAAGAGAUCCAAGGUUGAAAGUGCUCCAACUCCUGUUGAUAGCCCGAUUGAUCAACCAGCUUCUCAGUCGACUACCUCCCUGAAUCUUCAACAAAUUCAACACUACCUUGAUAGAGUCAAGCUGCUGCUUAUGGAUAUGAAAGAACAGGCAGGUAGACAAGAUCAAGGAUGUCAUGAAGGAGACAGGUACAGAUGUGGACAAGCUUCAUAUUGACAUAGGAGCUACAAGGAGACAAGGAACCAAGGCUUCAAUUCCAUGAGUGAAAAGAUGGACAAACUCGUCAAGGAUGUUGAGAAUUCACAUGACUCCUUCUGCACCAAAGUGAUCAACACCCUCAAAUACUUUCUGGGACGAAGUUAAUUUCUCUGAUUGUGCUGUUAUGACAAAAAAUUUCUUUUUGCUUAUGUUUUUUGUUGGUAGUUGCUUUUAAACAAUUCUUUUUUUGGACUGUACUAUCUAAGCCUCUACUGAAGGCUCUAACCGCCUUAUCUUAUCAGUAUGUGAAUUAUGUUCUAUUUUUCUCUUUGUAUGUCUCUUUACUUUUUGAUUGAUGUCAAGGGGGAGAAAAAUGUGAGUAAACAACUUAGGAGGGAAUAUAGGAACAACAUAAUCUCAAGGGAAGCAUCAGCUCAGGGGGAGCAACUCCUUAAAAGGGAAGUAUUUUAAUUUACUUUACUUUGUUUACUUAUUCUUGAUUGUCAUCAUCAAAAAGGGGGAGAUUGAUAGGUUUAAGUUUAAGUUUAAAUGAUGACAAUGUUAUCUUAUGUUAUAUUUACAGGACAAACAAAAAGGAAAGAAUGAAGAUGCUUAGCAAGAUUGCUAUUGGAUUCAAAAUAGCAAGUAAGGAAAGAAUGAAGAUGCUAUUACUGCAUUGAUGAUCAAUCAAAAAAAGCAGAUUGACUCGUCCUCAAUUAAGGGAACUCAGAUUGCCAAUUAUGGAUCCUCUAAUUAAGAAGAUCGCGCUCGUGAAUUAAACUCUCCAAGCGUAAAUGUCUCAUUGAAUUCAGCUGUGACAAGGAAGGUCACAUUCGAAUAUGGGCUAGUCAAAGAGCAAUAUUUGAAGAAGCACCCUUUGGGUCAAAUCCCUUAAUUAAAGAUCUUAUGCAUCUGAUGUCGCAAAAGACUCAACGGCUCUUUUCUCUCCUAUAAGAAGGUUAAUCUCUCAAGAAGAAGAUUGCGCAACUACACAGUACACACAUUGUAUUCUAAGUCUAUCUACUUCUUAGUUCAAACACUAUACUCCUUAGUUAUCAAUGUCUCAAAAGAUAGGGAGAUCUAGAACACAAAAGAGAGUUGUGUCAACUAUUCUGAACUUAAGUGUUGAUACUGCUCGUUGGUGGUGAACGCGGUAAAACCUUUUGUAUUGUAACUUAUUCAAAGAUCUUAAGAUAACUCUUGUGACCCAAGAGAAACUGGAUGUAAGUACCACAACAGUACCGAACCAGUAUAAAUCGCUAUGUGUUAUUUACUGCAAUGACCUGACUGGUCAUUUCAUGAGUUACACUCUCGUUCUCCUUAUUUCAACUUCUUUGUAUGUUGUUCAGAUAUAUUUCAUCAUAUUGUAUUGGUUGUUCUGUGUUCGGAAUGGUCAUAGAGUGAAAUGAGACACUUAGUCUCUUAUUUGGAAGUUUAAGUUGGAAAAGUCAACCAGAUGUUGACUUAUAUGUAGAAGUUCUCGGAUGUGAAUUCUGAUGGUUCAGAUAGCUUCGUUAAGUGAUUUUCGACUUAAGAGCGUGUUCAGAAAGUAAUUUGGAGGUCCGUGGUAGAUUAGGCUUGAAUUGGCGAAAUUGGAAUUUUAGCAUUUUUCGGUCGGCAGUGAAAAUCUUGAUACCGGAGUCAGAAUGGAAUUUUAAAAAUUGGAGUAGGUCCGCUGUGUUAUUUGUGACGCGUGUGCAAAAUUUUAGGUCAUUCAGAUGAGGUUUGAUAGGUUUUUGGAUCGGUUGUGGAAUUCGGAAGUUUGGAAAUCUUUAGGCUUGAAUCCGAUGGUGAUUUGGUGUUUCAACGUUGUUUUAAGUGUUCCGAGGGUUGUUAUGAGUUUGAAUGAUGAUAUGUGACUUGUUGGUAGGUUUGAUUGAGGUCCCGAGGGCCUCGGGAUGAUUUCAACGGGUUAUCGGAGAGUCGAAAAAGUGGAGUUGCAGCUGAAGCGGCUGUUUUCUAUCAUAACCGCAACUACGGAUUGGGGACCGCAGGUGCGAGCCGAAAAAGUGGAGAGAAGAACACAGAAGUGACAUUGGUCGCAGGAGCAGAGGACUGGACCGCAGGUGCGAGACCUGGGUCGCAGGUGCGGUGUUUGAGGAGUUAAGUGAAUUCUGCAGGGUGCGGAUUUUUAGGCGCAGAAGCAGCCUGCAGGUGCGAAAUAUUGUCCGCAGAUGCAGAAAUCACUGGGCAGAAAGUUUAAAAGGCCCUCUUCACAAAUUUUAGUCAUUCUUCCACCAUUUUUGGCCGAUUUUGGAGCUCCAAGCUGUGAUUUCAAGAGGGAAUCAAGUGUAUUUGGAGAGGUAAGCUACUUGGGCUUUGUAUCUUGUGUUUAUAGUGAUUGUUCCAUUGGUAAUCAUGAAAUUUGGGGGGGGGGGGGGAGAAUUUGAGAAGAAAUUGGGAAAUUAGGGCUUGAAAUUGGAGAGUUUAAAUUAGAAAUUUGAGGGGCCAUUUGGGGUCCGAUUUGGAUGAUUUUGGUAUGUAUAGACUCGUGGGAGGAUAAGGAUUCUAGUGAUGUGAUUUUUAUCAAAUUUCGAGACAUGGGCCAGGGGUCGGAUUUGACCUAUUUUGGGUUUUUUGAGUUAAUUUGAUAAUUUUUGCAUGAGCUUUGUUUCUUUGGCAUGUAUUGAUGUUAUGAUUAUAAUUUUGGAUAGAUUCGGGGCGAUUUGAGGCCGAGUCGAGAGGCAAGGUCAUUGCGGAGUAGAUUUUUGUCCGGAUCGAGGUAUUAACGAUUGUAAAUCUAGACUUGUGGGUAUGAAACCGCAGAAUUUUGUACUAUUUUGAUAAAUAAGGUGACACCCAUGCUAGGUGAUGGCGUGUGGGCGUGCACCCGUAGGGAUUGCGACUUGGUCCGUCCCGUGGCAACUGUAGAGUUGCACAUUUUGAUAAACUCUAUAUGAAAUCUAUGUGUUUAGAAAUAAUUCUGUUAACUUGGGAUUAAUGCCAUAUUUGGGGCCUUGUGCCGUACUAUUUGGACCCUCAGGGGUAUUUUACUACUAUCCUCACACUGUUUUGAUUCGAAAGCAUAUCCGCAGUCAUGAUUUUUACUUGUUUAUCGUUUGAUUUAGUUUCAUUACUCUACUUUUAAAUAUAUGAAAGUUGUUUGGGCUGAGUUCCCUGAUUUUUUACUGAAAGUCCUGAGUGGCUGUGAGAUUGAUGACUGAGAGAGAGGCCGAGGGCCUGAUGGUGAGGAUUAUAUAUUUAUGGAUUGGGCUGCACGCCGCAGCGAUAUGUUGGGUCGGGCUACAUGACGCAGUGAUAUAGCGCUUGGGCUGUAGGAGCCCCUCCGGAGUCUGCACACCCUCAGUGAGCGCAGUCGACUAUAUAUAAUUACGAAUGGGGUUGCACACCUCAGUGGUUAUUAUUAUGAGAUAUCUAUUGAGCGGAAGUGCUGAUUGACGAGAGUUGAGUCACGAGUGACUGAGAGGCUUGCCCGAGGGGCUAUAUAUAUGAGUGAUACUUUGCCCGAGGGGCUUGUUUAUGAAAUUACUGUUUUUACUCUUCUUUUAUCCUGAGACUCUAUUGAAAAAUAUUGGACAAAUAUUUUAAAUAACUUUCAUUGAAACUGGAGUUUUUACGAGAUGUUCGGAAAUUGAAAUACGAAUCUGAAUUUGUUAUUUCUAUUGAGAUUCUAUGUUAGACUAUGUAUAUGAUUUAAAUGCUCGUCACUGUACUCAACCUUUAUUUACUUUGGUUACUUAUUGAGUUGGCGUACUCACGUUACUCCCCGCACCCUAUGUGCAGAUCCAGGUGCUAGAGCAUCCGGGUGAGAGCAUCCAACAGCUUCUGAGUAUUUUUUUGGAGAUAGCAAGGUAGAUGCACGACGUCCGCAGCCCUGUCUUUCUCCUUCCUAUCCUUAGUAUUAUAUAUUUCAGUCUUAUCUUGUAUUGAG